Molecule: ribosomal RNA, 450 nt
Filed under: uncultured Diversispora
Lineage: Eukaryota; Fungi; Glomeromycota; Glomeromycetes; Diversisporales; Diversisporaceae
Description: bacterial SSU rRNA
Rfam family: Eukaryotic small subunit ribosomal RNA
Source: RNAcentral
AGCAGCCGCGGUAAUUCCAGCUCCAAUAGCGUAUAUUAAAGUUGUUGCAGUUAAAAAGUUCGUAGUUGAAUUUCGGGAUUAGUAGGCUGGUUAUGACGCGGUCGCUAUGGCUGGUCAUGUACUGGUCUUACCUAUUCCUCCUUCCUGAUGAACUGUAGUGCCAUUAAUUUGGUGUUGCAGGGAAUCUGGACUGUUACUUUGAAAAAUUGAGUGUUUAAAGCAGGCUAACGCUUGAAUACAUUAGCAUGGAAUAAUGAAAUAGGACGUUCGAUCCUAUUUUGUUGGUUUCUAGGAUUGACGUAAUGAUUAAUAGGGAUAGUUGGGGGCAUUAGUAUUCAAUUGUCAGAGGUGAAAUUCUUGGAUUUUAUUGAAGACUAACUACUGCGAAAGCAUUUGCCAAGGAUGUUUUCAUUAAUCAAGAACGAAAGUUACGGGAUCGAAGACGAUCAG